GUGAGGAAUAUUGGUCAAUGGGCGCAAGCCUGAACCAGCCAUCCCGCGUGCAGGAAGACGGCGCUAUUCGUUGUAAACUGCUUUUCCAGGGAGAGAAACUUGCGCACGUGUUGCGCAAUUGACGGUACCCUGGGAAUAAGCAUCGGCUAACUCCGUGCCAGCAGCCGCGGUAAUACGGAGGAUGCGAGCGUUAUCCGGAUUCAUUGGGUUUAAAGGGUGCGUAGGCGGCCUAUUAAGUCAGUGGUGAAAUCCUGCAGAUUAACUGCAGAACUGCCAUUGAUACUGAUAGCCUUGAGUUUGGUUAAGGUAGGCGGAAUGUGUAAUGUAGCGGUGAAAUGCUUAGAUAUUACACAGAACACCAAUUGCGUAGGCAGCUUACUGAGCCGACACUGACGCUGAGGCACGAAAGCGUGGGGAUCGAACAGGAUUAGAAACCCUUGUAGUCC
Molecule: ribosomal RNA, 446 nt
Filed under: uncultured bacterium
Lineage: Bacteria
Description: partial 16S ribosomal RNA
Rfam family: Bacterial small subunit ribosomal RNA
Source: RNAcentral